UUGCUACCAUUCUUUUCCAGGGUCUCAGG
Molecule: non-coding RNA, 29 nt
Filed under: Mus musculus (house mouse)
Lineage: Eukaryota; Metazoa; Chordata; Mammalia; Rodentia; Muridae
Source: RNAcentral